This 43-nucleotide ribosomal RNA is filed under the name Cadophora sp. REF016. RNAcentral's name for it is "partial 18S ribosomal RNA". Lineage: Eukaryota; Fungi; Ascomycota; Leotiomycetes; Helotiales; Ploettnerulaceae. The record is from RNAcentral.
GGGAUUCCGGCGGGAAGUAGGUGAACCUGCGGAAGGAUCAUUA